RNAcentral lists this ribosomal RNA (253 nucleotides) under uncultured bacterium. RNAcentral's name for it is "partial 16S ribosomal RNA". It matches the Rfam family "Bacterial small subunit ribosomal RNA", at positions 524 to 776 of the family's 1533-position model. The record is from RNAcentral.
UACGGGGGGGGCAAGCGUUGUUCGGAAUUACUGGGCGUAAAGGGCUCGUAGGCGGCCAACUAAGUCAGACGUGAAAUCCCUCGGCUUAACCGGGGAACUGCGUCUGAUACUGGAUGGCUUGAGAUUGGGAGAGGGAUGCGGAAUUCCAGGUGUAGCGGUGAAAUGCGUAGAUAUCUGGAGGAACACCAAUUGCGAAGGCAGCUCGCUGGGACGUUACUGACGCUGAGACGCGAAAGCGUGGGGAGCAAACAGG